This is a long non-coding RNA of Octopus bimaculoides (California two-spot octopus), 489 nucleotides long. RefSeq lists it as uncharacterized. The record is from RefSeq and is a predicted model, not a curated record. Lineage: Eukaryota; Metazoa; Mollusca; Cephalopoda; Octopoda; Octopodidae.
CUCACAACUAGCUAGCGCGGACGCUCGACUGCGCGUUCGGGUCCGCUCUGCUUGAGUAGUACCGGCCAGUUGAUUGCAUCGACCCCAGUGUUUCACUGGUACUUAAUUUAUCGACGCCGAAAGGAUGAAAGGCAAAGUCGACCUCGGCGGAAUUUGAACCCAGAACAUAAAGACAGACGAAAUACCGAGAGAAAGCGAGAAGCAAGACCAACAACAGCGCCGGCCUCCAACAAGGAUCGAUAAGACCAUCUGUGGCAGAGCAUAAACAAAACAACAACUAUUAGAGAAUAAUUGUUCAGCCUUCCCCUUCUCCCUCCAUGUUUAGAUACAUCGAAUGUAUUGUUAUUUGUAACAGUCACCAGGUGUUACCCACAUUUUGUAAGUUCGAUUCCAUAUAGUGUCCAUAGUCUUUUCUUCCCUUCCUCAAACAGUUGCUUUCUCAGAGUAAAAAUAAAGAAACUCAAAACUGAAUAAAAGUACAUCGAUGUA